AGUGCCUGCUAUGUGCCAGGCA
Molecule: microRNA, 22 nt
Filed under: Pongo abelii (Sumatran orangutan)
Lineage: Eukaryota; Metazoa; Chordata; Mammalia; Primates; Hominidae
Also listed under: 4 other names
Description: Pab-Mir-1271_3p* (star (passenger))
Source: RNAcentral